This 72-nucleotide transfer RNA is filed under the name Ornithorhynchus anatinus (platypus). It matches the Rfam family "tRNA". From Rfam's summary of the family: Transfer RNA (tRNA) molecules are approximately 80 nucleotides in length. Their secondary structure includes four short double-helical elements and three loops (D, anti-codon, and T loops). The record is from Rfam by way of RNAcentral. Lineage: Eukaryota; Metazoa; Chordata; Mammalia; Monotremata; Ornithorhynchidae.
AGCAGCGUGGCUCAGUGGAAAGAGCACGGGCUUGGGAGUCAGAGGUCAUGGGUUCAAAUCCCAGAUCUGCUG